UGGGGGGUGAGUGUUGUGAUUAUGAUUUGGGAGAAAUGAAAAAGGAAAAGAAUAGACUCUUUGUGCUUAAGUGAAUUGUUUUAUUGGGAUAAGUAGAGAAGCCUCUAGCUCAAGUUUUGAAAGUCUUGGCCCCCAGCCUAAAAAAAUAAAAAAAAAAAGGAAAAAGAAAAAAAAACGAAAAAAAAAAGAGAAAAGAAAAAGAAAAAAAAAGAAAAGAAAAAGGGGCUAGCAAAGUUGUUAGGAGCUAAGAAAUAUUUUGAGGUUCUGAAAAAAAUCCCUUGUAGAUUUCAAGGAGAAGGAGUUAAAGUUCUUAGGAUCUUUUGGUGAGAGAUGUGAGUUGG
This 341-nucleotide long non-coding RNA is filed under the name Brassica napus (rape). Its description in RNAcentral is "long non-coding RNA (BNAP_LNC002234)". Lineage: Eukaryota; Viridiplantae; Streptophyta; Magnoliopsida; Brassicales; Brassicaceae. The record is from RNAcentral.